UCUGCACGCUUUACUGCCUCAAGAACUUUCAGUGACCUGAAGGUUUGCUCCUAAUCCUCCAUGUUAUAUUGCUCAAUCAAUUUUCGCCUUCAGUUGGCGAGACACUUAUUUUUUCCAGUAUAUGCUGAUCUGAUUCGACAGCUCAUCUCCGGAGAUUAUUUGAUACUCGAAUCAAUUUUGGCCUUCAGUUGGCGAGACACUUAUUUUUUCCCAGUAUAUGCUGACCUGAUUCGACAGCUCGUGUCUGGAGAUUAUUUGAUACUCUUGAUAGACAUGCACAGCUAUUUUUGAUUUAUUUGCAUGCAAUCCUUAUAUCUGAUCCGCCAUUAUACCUAUUCAUUUCUGUGGAAGAAUCUUCCUGUGGCUUGCAAUCCUGCUAACUGUUAAAGAAUGUUGGAGUUUUCUGUAUAUGAUUCUGUGCAUGUUGAUCUUUUGCUGAUAGGUAUCAUUUAUAUAAGUUAUCCAGUUAUGUGAUAGAACUUCCAUUUGGGAACAAUAAUUAGUGUGCUGGACGAUGGUAUAAGUAACGUCAAAUCUAAAUACAGUCCCUAGUUCUUUAAUUAAUAUGAAAGAAAUACUCUACAAGAAAAAUAACUGAAUAUCUAUAAAGAUCCAAGAAUCAAAAGACUCAUGAUUAUUGUCUCUUUUCACCUAGUCUUCGCUUCAUAGCAUGGUUCGUCAGCUGAUAUCUUUUGUAACUGUGCAAUUGAUGUGUUGCUUGUGUUGGUUGAGAUCAAGUGUAGUAGCUGUUCUUAUCAGUUUUUUCUCUAUGCUCAACACAGUUAAUCUCCAAUAGCUUGUAUUAAU
This 807-nucleotide long non-coding RNA is filed under the name Nicotiana benthamiana. RNAcentral's name for it is "long non-coding RNA (NBEN_LNC023795)". Lineage: Eukaryota; Viridiplantae; Streptophyta; Magnoliopsida; Solanales; Solanaceae. The record is from RNAcentral.